Long non-coding RNA from Bos indicus x Bos taurus (hybrid cattle), 1566 nucleotides. Lineage: Eukaryota; Metazoa; Chordata; Mammalia; Artiodactyla; Bovidae. The record is from Ensembl.
GUCCUCAUUAGCUGGUGAUACUGCAUGCUCUGACGUGGACACCUCUCCAUCAACCUGUGGACAAGGAUUAAUCCUGUCUGUCUGCUCCUUCUUAGCCUCCCAGAGGCGGGGCAUAACUUCAGAUGAGCUGGCAUUUGAAUGAAAUCCAGGGUUUUGUUUUCCGCUGUGGAACAGAGCAGGAAGGAAUGUGUUUAUAUCAAGGCCCCAAGCACUACCUCAGAACUCUUCAGCGCCACCCGCCACCCGCAGGCUGGGGUGGAGGUGUCGGAACGUGUGUGGGCGGAGGUGUGAGGUCAGAGGGUGCAGUGGAGUUCUCAGGUUGACAUCACUGACUUGUCACCUAGUUUGGGUGCUAGACACAGGUGGCGCUGAUGGAGUGGCCGUGGGGGGCUGUGGGGUUUUGCUUCGAGGCACGGAGGCUGCAGAGGAAGAGAUGAGCUCUGCGUAGGCACACAGCAGAGUGAAACACAAGCACCCGAAGAGGAGUUCAGAAAAGGGCUUUUGUCCUGGCCGUGGCAGACUGCAUUCCAGGGCCACUGGCCCUCGUACUUCUGGUCUCGGGCUUUUAAAGACCUUCUGGCCACUCUCCUGAAAGUCCACUGGCUACCCACCUUAGUUUGGAAGGGAAAACAAAACCAGCACCUGCCUGAGAGAAGUAGAACAUUAUUCCUGCCUCCAUUGUCUCAGUAGUGAUUUAUGGAGCUUCUGUAGACCCGAACUACGUUUGCUGCUUCUUUGUCCUUGGCUUUCGUGGUGACCUGGCAUGCGGGAGACCUCAGUUGAAAGCGGACAAAUGAAGAAUAAACAAAUGAAUGAAGGAAGGAAUGAGUGAUAAAGAUGAGCCUACCAGCUGCAAAGUCCGCAGCAGAGAGACAGCAGGGGGCAAUAUCCAGAGUCUCAAUCACCAGUCAGCCACCUGCUGGAGAAGAGUCAGGGGGACACCUAUGCUCUGAGCACAUAUUGGCUCCUAUUCUGAGCCAGUUCCACCCAGGAAGAAGUCCAGCUCCUACAUGGGUGACAGCUGUUUUUCCUCUGUGACUUGACUUUCCCAGGAGUCUGUCCAGGGAAUUUGGAGAUGGCAUCAGAGAGUGACAGGGUGAGUGGAAGCACAUUUUCUUAAAGAAUAGAAACUUACCUUUUCAAAAUGGCUAGAUGAUACCUUUUAAGAACAACUUACAUGGGCCUAAAGGUAUGAUCUCAACAUUUCUUCAUCAGGCUUUGUGUGUGUGGAGAAAUACCUUAAUGAAAUGUUGACUCCUGAUCAUUCCUCUUGAAGAAAUGCAUCUGCUGUGUGACUUUCUCAGGUCACUUCAUCCGUCUGAGGUGAGCAUUCUCAUCUUUAGAAGGAGGAAGGUUUAACUGUGCACGGUCCGUGCUACAGGGCUGAGUGUGUGUCUGUAUUUGUGUGUGUGUGUAUUUGUGUGUGUGUGUAUUUGUGUGUCUGUCUGUAUUUGUGUGUGUGUCUGUAUUUGUGUGUCUGUAUACAUACACAUACACAUAUUUUAGGAUAGGGAAAAUGAGCUCACUAUUCUGAAAGGAUGUUUUCUUCUUUGUCUCUUUUCUACA